Mus musculus (house mouse) is the source of this 1508-nucleotide long non-coding RNA. RefSeq annotates it as predicted gene, 50624. The record is from RefSeq and is a predicted model, not a curated record. NCBI's taxonomy places the organism in Eukaryota, Metazoa, Chordata, Mammalia, Rodentia, Muridae. The transcript has 3 exons.
GCCAGGUUCUGAACGACAGUUAAGGGAGUGGCAGUUGGGACACAGGGAUUGUAACUAAUGAAUUAACUACAAUUUGGUCAAAAGAAAUCCUCUCUCUUCUCAUCAGCCUCAUAUCCUACACUGUGUGACUAAACCAAGUAGGACUCACUGCAGAUACCACCCGUUUAACAGGUAGGGCACAGAUACACAUGAUCUUCGAAUCCUCUGCUGGCCUCUAAUCAUCAGGCAGCAGAAUGUGACCAUCCCUUUCGAUGCUAGCCUGGGAUGUAUUUUAUACAUCUGCUCUCCCCCUUUUUGCCAAGAGUUUUAAUUAGUGAACUAUGGCAGACAUUAAAUCAUGCUAACUGUAAGUCUUACAUACUGACACUAAGAACAACCAAGGGAGUUUCCCGUUAGUGUAAGAUUUUAAGGCCUCCAGAGGCCUUUACUUCUGCUUUCACAACUUAUGUACACGCAGGACCAUCCUAAUUCUCUCAUCUAUCUCAUAUGUACUAACUUUUCUGUGUGAUCCAGUUCAACCCUUCCCUUGGCUCCAGACUGAGCAUCUCUCAUUGUGUGCUAUUGUUUGAAUAUAUUUCCCUAAUUCUUAUGCUUAAACUUAAUUGCUGGUAUAGUAGAAAGUAUUCUGCAAGGGCAGGAUGCGAUCAAUAAUCCUAUAUAGUUGUGAUGCCUAAGAACCAGAACAAUGACCAGCAUGCUAAGGUGCAAGAGCAGCCCUCACAUUUGGGUAGUGUGAUUGGACUUAAGACACUCCACAGGAGGGAAAUUAGGCUUAGUAUUAGAAACCUAGUCAACCACCCAGGUGGGGUGAGGUCUUAAAAGAGAUCCUACUACUGCCUAUUUUCUAGUCCAGCAAGACUCCUAACUAAAUUCUAAAACAUCCUUACACACACAAGUGUAGCCAUCUUCUCCCAUUCAAGAAAGCUCCCCUGUUAUUAGACGCGUUCUCACGCCCGGCCAGGAAAGACGCAACAGACCAGAAUCUUCUGCGGCAAAACUUUAUUGCUUACAUCUUCAGGAGCAAGAGUGUAAGAAGCAAGAGAGCGAGAAAACGAAACCCCGUCCCUAUUAAGGAGAAUUAUCCUUCGCCUAGGACGUGUCACUCCCUGAUUGGCUGCAGCCCAUCGGCCGAGUUGACGUCACGGGGAAGGCAGAGCACAUGGAGUGGAGAACCACCCUCGGCACAUGCGCAGAUUAUUUGUUUACCACUUAGAACACAGCUGUCAGCGCCAUCUUGUAACGGCGAAUGUGGGCGCGGCUCCCAACACUCCCCUUCACAGAAAAUGGAGAGUAUUACAGGAAACCACGGCUAGACAUAUUGCAGAAAUCCACGACUGUAGGGGGGGUCAGUCCCCACAGGAUGCAUCUAAAACACAAAACUGCACAAAAGGCUCAGGAAAAAUCAUGGGAGAGGAGGCAGAAAAAUUGUAGGAACCAGAAGGGCGGAAAGUUUAAUGUAUAAAUGUGACUGUGUUUCCUAGAAAUGUCUAUAUAAACUAAGCCUAAAC